RNAcentral lists this ribosomal RNA (508 nucleotides) under uncultured Bacteroidales bacterium. RNAcentral describes it as "bacterial SSU rRNA". It matches the Rfam family "Bacterial small subunit ribosomal RNA", at positions 9 to 507 of the family's 1533-position model. Lineage: Bacteria; Pseudomonadati; Bacteroidota; Bacteroidia; Bacteroidales. The record is from RNAcentral.
GAGUUUGAUCCUGGCUCAGGAUGAACGCUAGCGGCAGGCUUAACACAUGCAAGUCGAGGGGCAUCGGGAGGGAAGCUUGCUUUCCUUGCCGGCGACCGGCGCACGGGUGAGUAACACGUAUGCAACCUGCCCUCUUCAGGGGGACAACCUUCCGAAAGGGAGGCUAAUCCCGCGUAUAUCGGUUUCGGGCAUCCGAGAUCGAGGAAAGAUUCAUCGGAAGAGGAUGGGCAUGCGGCGCAUUAGCUUGACGGCGGGGUAACGGCCCACCGUGGCGACGAUGCGUAGGGGUUCUGAGAGGAAGGUCCCCCACACUGGUACUGAGACACGGACCAGAUUCCUACGGGAGGCAGCAGUGAGGAAUAUUGGUCAAUGGGAGAGAUCCUGAACCAGCCAAGCCGCGUGAGGGAAGACGGCCCUAUGGGUUGUAAACCUCUUUUGUCGGAGAACAAAACCCGGGACGUGUCCCGGACUGCGUGUAUCCGAAGAAAAAGCAUCGGCUAACUCCGUG